UGUAACGUCGGGCCAGCGGCGGCGGUAAUACGGAGGGUGGAAGCGUUAGUCGUAAUUACUGGGCGUAAAGGGCGGGUAGGCGGGAAUAUAAGUCAGACGUGAAAUUCCGGGGCUCAACCUCGGAGCUGCAUCUGAAACGAUAUUCCUUGAGGAAAGGCGUAGAAAACGGAAUUCCACAUGUAGCGGUGAAAUGCGUAGAUAUGUGGAGGAACACCUGUGGCGAAAGCGGUUUUCUAGCUUAAUCCUGACGCUGAGGCGCGAAAGCAAGGGGAGCAAACAGGAUUAGAUACCCUAGUAGUC
RNAcentral lists this ribosomal RNA (300 nucleotides) under uncultured Pyrobaculum sp. RNAcentral describes it as "bacterial SSU rRNA". It matches the Rfam family "Bacterial small subunit ribosomal RNA", at positions 496 to 795 of the family's 1533-position model. Lineage: Archaea; Thermoproteati; Thermoproteota; Thermoprotei; Thermoproteales; Thermoproteaceae. The record is from RNAcentral.